CCUACGGGAGGCUGCAGUGGGGAAUAUUGCACAAUGGGCGCAAGCCUGAUGCAGCCAUGCCGCGUGUGUGAAGAAGGCCUUCGGGUUGUAAAGCACUUUCAGCGGGGAGGAAGGCGGUGAGGUUAAUAACCUCAUCGAUUGACGUUACCCGCAGAAGAAGCACCGGCUAACUCCGUGCCAGCAGCCGCGGUAAUACGGAGGGUGCAAGCGUUAAUCGAAAUUACUGGGCGUAAAGCGCACGCAGGCGGUCUGUCAAGUCGGAUGUGAAAUCCCCGGGCUCAACCUGGGAACUGCAUUCGAAACUGGCAGGCUAGAGUCUUGUAGAGGGGGGUAGAAUUCCAGGUGUAGCGGUGAAAUGCGUAGAGAUCUGGAGGAAUACCGGUGGCGAAGGCGGCCCCCUGGACAAAGACUGACGCUCAGGUGCGAAAGCGUGGGGAGCAAACAGGAUUAGAUACCCGUGUAGUC
RNAcentral lists this ribosomal RNA (465 nucleotides) under uncultured Klebsiella sp. RNAcentral describes it as "bacterial SSU rRNA". It matches the Rfam family "Bacterial small subunit ribosomal RNA", at positions 338 to 795 of the family's 1533-position model. The record is from RNAcentral. Lineage: Bacteria; Pseudomonadati; Pseudomonadota; Gammaproteobacteria; Enterobacterales; Enterobacteriaceae.